AGUGAACGCUGGCGGUAGGCCUAACACAUGCAAGUCGAACGGCAGCACAGUAAGAGCUUGCUCUUACGGGUGGCGAGUGGCGGACGGGUGAGGAAUACAUCGGAAUCUACUUUUUCGUGGGGGAUAACGUAGGGAAACUUACGCUAAUACCGCGUACGACCUACGGGUGAAAGCAGGGGAUCUUCGGACCUUGCGCGAUUGAAUGAGCCGAUGUCGGAUUAGCUAGUUGGCGGGGUAAAGGCCCACCAAGGCGACGAUCCGUGGCUGGUCUGAGAGGAUGAUCAGCCACACUGGAACUGAGACACGGUCCAGACUCCUACGGGAGGCAGCAGUGGGGAAUAUUGGACAAUGGGCGCAAGCCUGAUCCAGCCAUACCGCGUGGGUGAAGAAGGCCUUCGGGUUGUAAAGCCCUUUUGUUGGGAAAGAAAAGCAGCAGGUUAAUACCCCGCUGUUCUGACGGUACCCAAAGAAUAAGCACCGGCUAACUUCGUG
RNAcentral lists this ribosomal RNA (492 nucleotides) under uncultured bacterium. Its description in RNAcentral is "partial 16S ribosomal RNA". It matches the Rfam family "Bacterial small subunit ribosomal RNA", at positions 29 to 507 of the family's 1533-position model. The record is from RNAcentral.